Sebastes umbrosus (honeycomb rockfish) is the source of this 686-nucleotide long non-coding RNA. RefSeq lists it as uncharacterized. Lineage: Eukaryota; Metazoa; Chordata; Actinopteri; Perciformes; Sebastidae. The record is from RefSeq and is a predicted model, not a curated record. The transcript is spliced from 4 exons.
UUUACCAGUUGUUAAUAAUGUGAUAAAAAAAUAUUCAUUAGAACUUUUGAACUUGUGAAUUAUGAAAUGUACCGAUGGUGUUUGGAUUUACAAGUCGACAAGCAUCACCUGAAUGCACCGGAGGAGGAAGAGGAAGUGAAGAUGGAUGAGGAGGGAAGUAAUUCAUGCAUCACGUCUUUCCAACCAAGAGGCAUGGGCGCCUAGUUACAGUCAAAAAUCGGGGUGCAAGAUUAGUGACAGAGGUUGGAGCUCGUCCUCCGACGAGAUGAGGACAAAGAUGAGGACAAAGAUGAGGACAAAGAUGAGGACAAAGACGAGGACGCCUGUUUGUUUUUUCCCUCAUCCAGUCCUGCAGCUCCAGGCGGAGGUGACGGGUCAGAUCCCUCCCACCUGGACUUAAAUACGGGGGAGGUGGAGCUCAGCAGUGACCUCUGACCUUUGAGCACCAAAAUCUAAUCAGUCCAUCCUCCAGUCCGGUUGGAUGUUUGUCCGUGAAGGGGACGUACAGACGGACAACCCGAAAACAUAAUCCUCUGGCCACAACUGUCGCCGGCAUGGAGGCAGAGAAAUGAAGUUGAUGCAGCCGAGGCUGAGAUCUCUCGUACAGUCAAAGCUCCUCAAACACUGGAUGCUGCAUUUCCCAUAAUGCAACUUUUCAUUCAUUUAAUUAAACCCAUAGAGCCACA